RNAcentral lists this transfer RNA (74 nucleotides) under Candidatus Daviesbacteria bacterium. RNAcentral describes it as "tRNA-Thr". It matches the Rfam family "tRNA". From Rfam's summary of the family: Transfer RNA (tRNA) molecules are approximately 80 nucleotides in length. The record is from RNAcentral. Lineage: Bacteria; Candidatus Daviesiibacteriota.
GCCUGGGUAGCUCAGCUGGUUAGAGCACUUGUUUUGUAAACAAGAUGUCGCGGAUUCGAGUUCCGCCCCAGGCU